CCUACGGGUGGCAGCAGUGGGGGAUAUUGCACAAUGGGGGAAACCCUGAAGCAGCGACGCCGCGUGGGGGAAGAAGGGUCUCGGCGCGUAAAGCCCUGUUGUCAGGGAAGAAAAUGACGGUACCUGACGAAGAAGCACCGGCUAACUCCGUGCCAGCAGCCGCGGUAAUACGGAGGGGGCAAGCGUUAUUCGGAUUUACUGGGCGUAAAGGGGGCGCAGGCGGGGUUGGAAGUCAGGAGUGAAAUCCUGUGGCUCAACUACGGGACUGCCGUUGGAACUGCGUGGCUAGAGUGCAGGAGGGGCAGGCGGAAUUCCUGGUGUAGCGGUGAAAGGCGUAGAUAUCAGGAGGAACACCGAUGGCGAAGGCGGCCUGCUGGA
This 378-nucleotide ribosomal RNA is filed under the name uncultured bacterium. RNAcentral describes it as "partial 16S ribosomal RNA". It matches the Rfam family "Bacterial small subunit ribosomal RNA", at positions 338 to 733 of the family's 1533-position model. The record is from RNAcentral.